GACGAACGCUGGCGGCGUGCUUAACACAUGCAAGUCGAACGGAAAGGCCCUGCUUUUGUGGGGUGCUCGAGUGGCGAACGGGUGAGUAACACGUGAGUAACCUGCCCUUGACUUUGGGAUAACUUCAGGAAACUGGGGCUAAUACCGGAUAGGAGCUCCUGCUGCAUGGUGGGGGUUGGAAAGUUUCGGCGGUUGGGGAUGGACUCGCGGCGUAUCAGCUUGUUGGUGGGGUAGUGGCUUACCAAGGCUUUGACGGGUAGCCGGCCUGAGAGGGUGACCGGCCACAUUGGGACGGAGAUGCGGCCCAGACUCCUACGGGAGGCAGCAGUGGGGAAUAUUGCACAAUGGGCGGAAGCCUGAUGCAGCAACGCCGCGUGCGGGAUGACGGCCUUCGGGUUGUAAACCGCUUUCGCCUGUGACGAAGCGUGAGUGACGGUAAUGGGUAAAGAAGCACCGGCUAACUACGUG
This 468-nucleotide ribosomal RNA is filed under the name uncultured bacterium. Its description in RNAcentral is "partial 16S ribosomal RNA". It matches the Rfam family "Bacterial small subunit ribosomal RNA", at positions 28 to 507 of the family's 1533-position model. The record is from RNAcentral.